Ornithorhynchus anatinus (platypus) is the source of this 2508-nucleotide long non-coding RNA. RefSeq lists it as uncharacterized. Lineage: Eukaryota; Metazoa; Chordata; Mammalia; Monotremata; Ornithorhynchidae. The record is from RefSeq and is a predicted model, not a curated record. The transcript has 3 exons.
AUGGGAAGGGAGAGGUGGAGGAGCAGAGGGAAAAGGGGAAAAACAUCAAUACAAGUGCCAUGUUCACACUUGUGUCUUCUUAAAAUGAAUACCUGCCAGGGGUUUGGUGAUGCUUGUUCUAACUCAUCUGUUGACUUCUUCAAACAGAUAAUGCUGCUUAUGAUGGUGAGAAGGGGGUGAGGUGUUGAUUCUGGCAUGAAGCAGCCUUUCUUCCCUCUUCUACCGCACUGAUAUUCCAGUCCCCAAUUGGAGAGCAGGUGAAAUUGUGUAAAACUGUGCCAAACUGUCCUCUCCCCUUCUCCUGCCUUGGAUGGCAUUGUAUUGCUAGCUGCUUCAGAGAUCGUCUCUGCUCCUGUUUGAGGUCUUAAGUGAUAAGAGUAGGUCCGUGGGUGGGGAUGGGUAGGUAAGGGUAGGAUGGUAAUAGGUAUGUCAAACCCUGCUUACUCAAGUUCUCUGGCUAGCGAGUCAUGGAAGUGUCUUCCCCGGCUCCAGCAAAUUACCUGUGGGGAUGUUGGGGGAGGUGGCAGAGCUGGCUUUGAACAUCCGGCUGCUCCCUGCCCUGUCCCAUGUGACAUCACUCUAUCUCGUGCAAGCAGGUGACAAGGACAGCAUUUUGCAAGAGAGUAUUUCUCGGUUGCUGCCGCCCGCUGCCUGCCACUGGCCGCCCCUUAACCGAGCACCCCAGACGGUUCAGAUCUGAGACCCUUGAUUUCCACUCCACUGAUGGAUCUCUUCUAUCCUGCUGCCGUGUUUGUGAAGGGCAGUGGAACCUCCAUCUUAGAGUGGUCCAGCUUUAGACUCCUAGAUUCUGACCUGCCAAACAUUCUGUGCAUCCCCAUUAGAGUGCUCUUGUUCCAGGGGAGGUCCCUGUCCCUGCUCCCUCACCAGCCAGACUUCAGCCGGCUCCCCUCAUGCCGCCUGCCUUCCCUGCUCUCCCAGGGUCUUCUUUCUUGCUGCUAUUUCUCCUCCUUUCCUCUCCCUCCUCCCCACAUUGCUACGGCUCCUACCCUAGCCUCUGCCCCUCCAACCAAUCCUGCCCGGGAAACAUCUUCUGCUCUAGAUGGUGUUGAUUUUCCAAGGCCCGUUUUCAGGUUAGAUUGAAGGGUGAUAAUGAUCCCCUUCCAACUCUUCCAAAAUUACCCUUGUUACCUCUUAGUAGCUGCCCUUUCCCCUCGUCCUAGCAAGCCCGGGAGAAACUUCUGCUGUGUUUGUACUUUUUCAUUAAAUAUAUCUCUUCCCUCUGGGCAGGAUGGGAUGCUUAUUAUUUCAGGCCAGUCUCUCUACCUUUUGUCUCACCAGGCCACAUACAAUCUCUUAGUGGUUGCUAAGGGCUGCAGGUAGUAAUGCAUUUGCAAAAUGCUAAAGGACGGCAGGGAGUUGUUUUGGCAGCUAUUGUGGGAGAAUAGCUUAAGGGAAUGGAUGGUGGGUGACUCGAGUUCCAUUCCCAGCUAUCCUAUCUGUAAUUUAGACAGCCCCUGCAUCUCCGCCUGGUUUUCCUAACCUAUCCAGUGAGGGCCCAGGAUAACCAACUCCAUAUCUGCGAAGUUAUUUGUGCUCUUUGGCUUAGGGGUUGGAAUGUGCUAGGGGUGGUGGUGGUGUGCAGUGGAUUUUAAAGGCAUGCAGUAGAAACAGCAUGACCCAACAUGUCGCAUGGUGACGUCACCCCUCCCCCUAACAAAAACUCCAAAUCUAGCCUACAAGAGACGUUUUCCCGGAUUCUCUGUGGCACCCAUUAGAAGGGAACAAAAAUAGGACAUCGGAAGCUUUAAAGGCCAUUAUCUUUGUGGCUGAUCAGUAGAUGAUGGGCAGCCGCUGCUGGUGUUCUAUUUUCAUUCUCUACUAAUUUUCCCCCCAUUGUCUCCACUUUUCCCCUAUUUCCCCCUAACCCCGUUGCAGCUCUGCAGUGGCCUUGAGGCUGCAGUGUACCUGGUUCCCCUUGCCCCCGGGCAUCAACCCCUUACCCUGGGUCCCUGCUCAUGCACAAAACUGUGUUAACCCAGCAUGACUUGGAGCUGUAUUUCUAAGCCGUGACUUGAACAUCGCGCACGACAAGAUAGCGUUAGAGCCAUCAUAAAGGCUCAUAUAGUGCGGCACGAGAUUCAGCGGCAUACGUGCCCCGCCUCAUUCCAAAGAAAUACCAAAAGGCGAUACAGGCGGUCCUCGACUUACAACAUUUUGAGUCACGACGAAUGGCACUUACAAGACGUUUCUAAAUUUACCCCCUGUUUCAGCUUUACCACACGUCGGUUUCGACUUUACAACACUAGCCUCCUUUCUGGCACUAGCUCCGCCUACAGUACAGUUCUUUAUCCGAGCAUCUCUUACAGAUCCUUCUGAGGCACAAAGAUGGGGGGAGAAACUUGGCCCUCAGGUACCCAGGGAAUCAGUGGUGAAGUUGGACAGCGGAAUUCCAGGAUGUUGUCCCUUUGUUCCCUGCUCCAAAUAGUAAACUGCAGUUCUUCACUUCCCUAAUGACUGCUCACAAAUAAAUAUUUAGCUCAAUCUCUG